AGUAACCAAAAACCACCGCCUUUGACAUCAAUCCAGCCAUAUGCUGGACCUCAGAAGCAAUAAAUACCGCCAUCAUCGGCUACUGUCGAAGGGAGGAGAUGGGUAGAGCUCAUAGCUUCUCAAUCUCCUAUAGCCUUGGGGGGUGGUGAGAUUGAUAACCACCAACUAAUACUAACUCAAUAACACUGAGUUACCUACAAGUUCACCACCAAACAUGCAAACAUGCAGAGACCCUCCAAGAAGAUGAAGGCCAACUGACAUCAAUGGGUGGUGCCACUCCCAAUAAAGCCAUAACCAUUAUACGGAUCAAAAG
RNAcentral lists this unclassified non-coding RNA (313 nucleotides) under Hevea brasiliensis (rubber tree). Lineage: Eukaryota; Viridiplantae; Streptophyta; Magnoliopsida; Malpighiales; Euphorbiaceae. The record is from RNAcentral.